Non-coding RNA from Sporomusa sp. An4, 227 nucleotides. NCBI's taxonomy places the organism in Bacteria, Bacillati, Bacillota, Negativicutes, Selenomonadales, Sporomusaceae. The record is from Rfam.
CUACUCUUUGUUGGGUAUAGAACCAGUACCGGGUCUUUGAAUUCGACCCGGUAACGUGGCGAAUUAAGCGUGGGACGGGAAGGGAGCAGGUUGAAAGCGAUGAGCGGAAGGGAUUGAGCUGCGAAAACUAAGACGAGAAGGCCGAUGCUUUUAUACUGGCAGAAGGCAAUAGCCCACAGGCCGAAAAGGUAAUGGACUUUUAGCAACAUAACUGUGUUGUCAAAUCC